GUUGAUGAUGAUAACCCUGAAUAGGAAGUGCCGUCAGAUGCGAGAACUGACGAUAAUCUUCUUACUUGUCUGAAA
Small nucleolar RNA from Accipiter nisus (Eurasian sparrowhawk), 75 nucleotides. The record is from Ensembl. Lineage: Eukaryota; Metazoa; Chordata; Aves; Accipitriformes; Accipitridae.